GAGUUUGAUCCUGGCUCAGAUUGAACGCUGGCGGCAGGCUUAACACAUGCAAGUCGAACGGUAACAGGAAGUAGCUUGCUAUUUUGCUGACGAGUGGCGGACGGGGGAGUAAUGCUUGGGAAUAUGCCUUAUGGUGGGGGACAACAGUUGGAAACGACUGCUAAUACCGCAUAACGUCUACGGACCAAAGGGGGGGAUCUUCGGACCUCUCGCGAUAGGAUGAGCCCAAGUGGGAUUAGCUAGUUGGUAAGGUAAUGGCUUACCAAGGCGACGAUCCCUAGCUGGUCUGAGAGGAUGAUCAGCCACACUGGAACUGAGACACGGUCCAGACUCCUACGGGAGGCAGCAGUGGGGAAUAUUGCACAAUGGGCGCAAGCCUGAUGCAGCCAUGCCGCGUGUGUGAAGAAGGCUCUAGGGCUGUAAAGCACUUUCAGCGAGGAGGAAAGGUUGUAAUUUAAUAGAUUGCAGCUGUGACGUUACUCGCAGAAGAAGCACCGGCUAACUCCGUGCCAGCAGCCGCGGUAAUACGGAGGGUGCGAGCGUUAAUCGGAAUUACUGGGCGUAAAGGGCGCGUAGGCGGUUUGUUAAGUGGGAUGUGAAAGCCCCGGGCUUAACCUGGGAACUGCAUUCAAAACUGUCUAGCUAGAGUACGAUAGAGGGGGGUAGAAUUUCAGGUGUAGCGGUGAAAUGCGUAGAGAUCUGAAAGAAUACCAGUGGCGAAGGCGGCCCCCUGGAUUGAUACUGACACUGAGGUGCGAAAGCGUGGGUAGCAAACAGGAUUAGAUACCCUGGUAGUCCAUGCCGUAAACGAUGUCAACUAGCCGUUGGAAGAUUUGAUCUUUUAGUGGCGCAGCUAACGCAAUAAGUUGACCGCCUGGGGAGUACGGCCGCAAGGUUAAAACUCAAAUGAAUUGACGGGGGCCCGCACAAGCGGUGGAGCAUGUGGUUUAAUUCGAAGCAACGCGAAGAAUUUUACCUACUCUUGACAUCCUCAGAACUUAGCAGAGAUGCUUUGGUGCCUUUGGGAACUGAGUGACAGGUGCUGUAUGGCUGUCGUCAGCUCGUGUUGUGAAAUGUUGGGUUAAGUCCCGUAACGAGCGCAACCCUUGUCCUUAUUUGCCAGCACGUAAUGGUGGGAAUUUUAAGGAGACUGCCGGUGAUAAACCGGAGGAAGGUGGGGACGACGUCAAGUCAUCAUGGCCCUUACGGGAUGGGCUACACACGUGCUACAAUGGCGAGUACAGAGGGCAGCAAUACCGCGAGGUGGAGCGAAUCCCACAAAGCUUGUCGUAGUCCGGAUCGGAGUCUGCAACUCGACUCCGUGAAGUCGGAAUCGCUAGUAAUCGUAGAUCAGAAUGCUACGGUGAAUACGUUCCCGGGCCUUGUACACACCGCCCGUCACACCAUGGGAGUGGGUUGCAAAAGAAGUGGCUAGUUUAACCUUCGGGAGGACGGUCACCACUUUGUGAUUCAUGACUGGGGUGAAGUCGUAACAAGGUAGCCCUAGGGGAACCUGGGGCUGGAUCACCUCCUU
This 1534-nucleotide ribosomal RNA is filed under the name uncultured prokaryote. RNAcentral describes it as "partial 16S ribosomal RNA". It matches the Rfam family "Bacterial small subunit ribosomal RNA". The record is from RNAcentral.